RNAcentral lists this long non-coding RNA (743 nucleotides) under Oncorhynchus mykiss (rainbow trout). RNAcentral describes it as "lncRNA (ENSOMYG00000070866.1)". Lineage: Eukaryota; Metazoa; Chordata; Actinopteri; Salmoniformes; Salmonidae. The record is from RNAcentral.
AUGAAGAAUCCGAGGAGGAGGCCCCACCCCCAAAGAAGGCUGAAGGUCACGGCUGCCAAGGAGGAGUCUGACGACGAUGAUGAUGAGGACUCUGAGGAAGAGGAGAUGGAUACCACCCCGGCACCCGCAGCAAAGAAAGCAGGCAUGGUCAAGGCUAAGGAGGAGUCUGACGAUGAUGGUAAGUGAUAUUUUGAUUAAGGUUUAUUACCCAUGUGGUGAAAGGGGUGUCUUGGUCUCCGGCAGUCAUCACAGCUGGGUAUUAUUGCCCCAUAUGCCACGUUCACAUGUUGGUCAGUACUCUGAAAUGUCCAACUUGCUAAUAUGUUGUAGGUAAACAUGUCACAUUCAACCAGUUAUCAAGUUGGACAUUUCAGUUUCCUAGUUGUGACUGGCAGGUGAACACGACAUUAGCCCCACCCUCCACCUUUUGGUGUUGGCACAUCUACGGGAGAACGGGCUUGGACUGAAAUGCAUCCGGGCUGUAGGUUCUUCCUGACACUGCGAGGAUUUCAAAGAUGGUCAGCUACAGAGCUGGUCUAUACAAAAGCUCCCCUCUCACCUCUGUUAUUUGAAGGUUUUGGGGUCCUAAGCAGGCUGUUUUGUUCCACAGAGGCCCCAGCGACUCCUGCAAAAGAGGAAGGCCGACAGCAAGAAAGCCAAGUCCGAAAGCGAUGGUAAGUUAUGGUUCAGCCCUUUCAACACCUGCUCCCACACUGAACCAUAAUACGCAUGAUGAACAAGGG